Molecule: ribosomal RNA, 433 nt
Filed under: uncultured bacterium
Lineage: Bacteria
Description: partial 16S ribosomal RNA
Rfam family: Bacterial small subunit ribosomal RNA
Source: RNAcentral
AGCGAACGCUGGCGGCAGGCUUAACACAUGCAAGUCGAGCGGGCCUUUCGGGGUCAGCGGCGGACGGGUGAGUAACGCGUGGGAACGUGCCCUCUUGUUCGGAAUAACUCAGGGUAACUUGUGCUAAUACCGGAUACGCCCUUUUGGUGAAAGGCUUGCUGCCGGAGGAUCGGCCCGCGUCUGUUUAGCUAGUUGGUGAGGUAACGGCUCACCAAGGCGACGAUCUGUAGCUGGUCUGAGAGGAUGAUCAUCCACACUGGGACUGAGACACGGCCCAGACUCCUACGGGAGGCAGCAGUGGGGAAUAUUGGAAAAUGGGCGCAAGCCUGAUCCAGCCAUGCCGCGUGAGUGAUGAAGGCCUUAGGGUUGUAAAGCCCUUGUAUACGGGACGAUAAUGACGGUAACGGAGGAAUAAGCCCCGGCUAACUACGUG